GCAGGUGGAGAUGCAGUUGCUGUACUGAAUGUACAGAGGAAAGUCCGGACACCACAGGGUGUGAUGGUCGCUAACGGCGACCCGUCGUGAGGCGAGGGAAAGUGCCACAGAAAACAGACCGCCGAAGAUCCCUUAAAAAGGGUAGUCGGUAAGGGUGAAAAGGUGGGGUAAGAGCCCACCGCUCCUUCCGUGAGGAUAGGAGGCAUGGCAAACCCCAUCAGGUGCAAUGCCAAAUAGACAGGCGUUUGAGGGUGACCCGCCCGAUGCCUGCGGGUAGGCAGCAGGAUUUAGUCAGCAAUGACUAAACAAGAUGAAUAACUGCAUAAAACAGAAUCCGGCUUAUCUCCACCUGCUGAU
Molecule: RNase P RNA, 357 nt
Filed under: Calditerrivibrio nitroreducens DSM 19672
Lineage: Bacteria; Pseudomonadati; Deferribacterota; Deferribacteres; Deferribacterales; Calditerrivibrionaceae
Description: Bacterial RNase P class A
Rfam family: Bacterial RNase P class A
About the family: Ribonuclease P (RNase P) is a ubiquitous endoribonuclease, found in archaea, bacteria and eukarya as well as chloroplasts and mitochondria. Its best characterised activity is the generation of mature 5'-ends of tRNAs by cleaving the 5'-leader elements of precursor-tRNAs.
Source: Rfam by way of RNAcentral